Molecule: non-coding RNA, 103 nt
Filed under: Ilyobacter polytropus
Lineage: Bacteria; Fusobacteriati; Fusobacteriota; Fusobacteriia; Fusobacteriales; Fusobacteriaceae
Also listed under: 1 other name
Description: TPP sequence
Rfam family: TPP riboswitch aptamer (THI element)
About the family: Vitamin B(1) in its active form thiamin pyrophosphate (TPP) is an essential coenzyme that is synthesised by coupling of pyrimidine and thiazole moieties in bacteria. The previously detected thiamin-regulatory element, thi box was extended, resulting in a new, highly conserved RNA secondary structure, the THI element, which is widely distributed in eubacteria and also occurs in some archaea. Analysis of operon structures identified a large number of new candidate thiamin-regulated genes, mostly transporters, in various prokaryotic organisms.
Source: RNAcentral
AAUAAAUAAUUCGGGAGCUGAAAAGGCUGAGAGGAGAUAUGAUAUCUCGACCGAUAAACCUGAUCUGGAUAAUGCCAGCGUAGGAAGCAAAUUUUAUUAGUAA